UGGGGGAUAUUGCACAAUGGAGGAAACUCUGAUGCAGCAACGCCGCGUGAGGGAAGAAGGUUUUCGGAUUGUAAACCUCUGUUUUUAGUGAAGAAACAAAUGACGGUAGCUAAAGAGGAAGCCCCGGCUAACUACGUGCCAGCAGCCGCGGUAAUACGUAGGGGGCAAGCGUUAUCCGGAUUUACUGGGUGUAAAGGGAGCGUAGACGGAACGGCAAGUUUGAAGUGAAAUACCUGGGCUUAACCCGGGAACUGCUUUGAAAACUGUCGAUCUAGAGUGUCGGAGAGGUAAGUGGAAUUCCUGGUGUAGUAGUGAAAUGCGUAGAUAUCAGGAAGAACACCGGAGGCGAAGGCGGCUUACUGGACGAUAACUGACGUUGAGGCUCGAAAGCGUGGGGAGCAAACAGGAUUAGAUACCCUGGUAGU
This 425-nucleotide ribosomal RNA is filed under the name uncultured Oribacterium sp. RNAcentral describes it as "bacterial SSU rRNA". It matches the Rfam family "Bacterial small subunit ribosomal RNA", at positions 355 to 794 of the family's 1533-position model. Lineage: Bacteria; Bacillati; Bacillota; Clostridia; Lachnospirales; Lachnospiraceae. The record is from RNAcentral.